GGCCCGGCCCGCCCCAGGCUCCGCUCGGCAGCGCAGAGCGGACGCGCAGCCUGAUCGCUUGGGGGGGGGUUCCCGGCGCAAUAAAAGGCUUUUAAGGGAGCAGCACCCGGCUCGUCCCAGGAGAAAGGCGGCAGCAGGGGAAAGUGUUCAAUAAUCCUGAUGAGGGUUGCACAGCUGAGUGCUGUUGCAGCACUACUUCAGAGGAGCACAUCUCUGAAUACUUAUGGAGCCUUGUCCUACAGGCAGAAGUACGUUAACAAGUUUUAUGCUCCUGAAAAAGUGAAAAAUUAUUGGAGGCAGUAGGAGUGCAAGGAGCACAGCUUUAAAAGAUGAGAGCAAUGAGGAUGGUAGAGGAAGAACACAGAAAUCUCCAGAGACACAGGUUGAAUGGUAAAGAUGUCCUGGAAGAAAAGAAUCAGUCUUGCAACAUGUGAACCUAAGACCAAAUCUAAGAAGGUGAAGUAAAGCUGCAAGGUCUCCUCAUUGCAGACCACUAGACACGUUUCUCCUCAAGCAAAUGGACAAAGAAGAUGGUAGAUGAAAGGAGCCUCAACUCCAUUCUGAAACACACUGGCUAGCAAAGCUGAGUCAAUUACUAGGAGUGUUGUAAUAUUCAGUUGGUGCUAUUCAGAACAGGAAUGAAACUUCAAGAUUAAGGCAAAAGAAGCACAUGGACCACCACUAGUACAAUGUAUGCAAUACCCAGAGUCAAAGACUACACCUCAAGCCAUGAGGGAACUGCUGAGCACUGAGUUUACGUCAUUGAGCUGUCCUAAAUGACAGUAGAUCUGUUUAUAGUGACAAAAGUUUUAGCAAUUAAUUUUGACUUAUCUCUUUGUUCCAUUUAAUUUAUUUCUAUUUUAUGUCUGAAUUCUAUUUUUACAGGAAACUGAACAUGAACCUUUCUUAAAAGCAGGUGGUUUCUUGAAUAGGCCUUCUCAUUUUUAAGUAUUGGGAAAGAAAUAAGACUUCCGUGGUCUCCAGACAAAUGAGACUUAGAGGUUGUAAGUCUUUGACUUUCAAGCUGACCUUUCGUUACUGCUGAGUUGCUGUCAGCCAUGCAAGGCUUGACAGAGCCAAAGCAGGAUUAGAUUUCAGAGACUUUAACCGCCAUACUCAGUGGACCAAACUCUUUAGUGCUUGACCUGAAGAGUAAUUCUAGCUUGCCACAACAUAUGGCUAUACGUAGGUCCUAAAAUCAAGUUCAUUAAAACAUUUAAAUAAACAUGACAGAAAGGAGGAAAAAGUGGAAAUAAAUGAGCAGCUUCUAACAGAAGCUGGAUUUGGCAGCUAUGUCCACUUCAAAAAGUGAUUACAUGGAUGUUUCCGUCUUUUAAAAGGGUCUUUAGUAUAAAACAGUCAAACACCAAAAGAACAAAUUAAAGAGAAGGAAAUUAAUUAAAAAUUGGAAAACUUUAAUGACUUUUGAUGUGAUUAAAGUGGACAUGUUUUGUAGAGAUUUCACCUGUUCUUUAAUUUCCUAUUCUAUCUGGCUGUGAUCUGUCCCUGCAUUGUUCUGCAGUGCAAGAUCUCGAAUCCAAGCAUGCUGUGCAACUCUCCUUUGAAAAAGACUGAAAUUAUAUGUAAUUAAUGCAACUGAUGUUUAACAUGUUUGAAGGGUCAGGAAGAAGAAAUCAGAACUCUUUCGUCUAUAAAGUCCAGGAAAUGAGACUUCAUCCACCAGCUGCAGGUGUGAUUUCAGCCCUUCAUGUUCUCAUUCUCCAGUCCUUACUGAAGCAAGCUAUCUCUUCCAAAACAGUUUAAGGUAAUAGCUGAAUAAAGCAUAACCUUCCCAGGAAAUUUCAGGACUUUAUUAUCUGCUCAUAGACAAAAGCCAGAAAUACAAAGACAGAUAAUGAUAGUAAUAAUAAUAAUAAUAAUAAUAAACCAGCAGGCAAAGAAUAAAAACAAAUCUCUUUUUUAUUAAAGCCUCUCAGGGAAGGAGAUAGACCCAAGUGAAAAUCUGAAUUUUCCCCUAAUCGCUAAGAAAUUUUUGUAUAGCUCAGGAAGAUUUCAUGUGUAAGAAAUGAAGUCUAGGUUUCAAAUCUAAAUUCCUUAUUUUGGACGUGCAUCUAGUUGGAAGUUUACACUUGGUUGUUCCUUGGAUUAAAAUAUAGUUCAGUUAUAUUGAGAGUAUUCUGUCCUUUCCUGAUUUGUUGUGGUUUAACCUAGCAGAUAGGUAAACACCACACAGACAUUUACUUCCUCCCUUUCCGUGGGAGAAUAUUGAAAAGCACAAGAACUCAUGCAUUCGGUUAAGGAUAGUUUAAUAAGAAAGAGGUAAGAAAAUGAGAUAGUAACAAUAAAAAAAAAAAAAAAAACACAACUGAAAGAAAACAACAACAAACACUACAAAUAAAGCAACUGAUGAGCAAUGUAAUUACUCAUUGAUCAACCAGUCCUCUAGCAGUGGCAUAUGCCAAAGCCAACUCCUUUAGUUCUCUGUUUCAGCGUGGCAUCAUAUGGUAGGGGAUAACCGUUUGUCCAGUUUGGGUCAGCUCUCCUGGUUUUAUGGCCUUCCCUCUCCUUGUGCAUUCCCAUCUCCUCACUGUGUGCAGUAUGGGAAGCUGAAAAGUCCUUGACUUAACAUAAAUUCUGCUCAGCAGCAGCUACAACAUUGGUGUGUUAUUAGCAUUAUUCUCAUCCUAAAUCCAAACCACAGAGUCAUCCCAGGCACUAGGAAGCUCAGCAUAAGAAAAUGUCUUUUUGUCCCCCCCUAAAAAAUUAAAUAAGCUCUCAAAGAAAAUAAAACAAUCUUCAAGCUUCUGGUAGUGGAUCAAAAAUGCUGAAGGCACAUGUUACUAAGUACAGAACUGGUACAUGUUCAUACUGCUGCUUCGAAUUUUUUCUAAAUAUUUUGAUAAGGCAGUUUUGUUCUGGCAGACUCAGGAUCAGAUCAAGUAUCAUCUGUUCUGCAGCUACACAAAGGCAGACCAAGCACCAUAUGGUGUGCUCUGGCACAGCACUCAUGGCAUAGCAGAAAUAUAACCAAGCAGUCACACCAGACCUAGAUCAGAUUCCUAUUGCUUUUGAGUGUAUAAAUCAACUAUCAAUGAAUAUGGAACCACUAUGUGCCAUUGUUUUGAAAUAAAUACCCCUCCAAUACCAAGUAUUAGCCUUAAUGUUUACAAGGAAACUAUUUGUACGGAUGCCCAUGUGUACACAUUGGACACUGAUGUUUUCUUAGAACUUUCUGGCCAAUGUCCAAUUAAUUUUUGCUGCAAAAUGUAUAUUUGAUAACUUAUUUUACUGUGAUCUUUCCUCAGAAAAUUUAUUUCAGUCCUAUGGGAGUAAAAUUCAUUAAAUACUAAAUAAGUAGUGCAUAAUGCUGCCCACAGGGUUUGCACAGGUACUUGCUGUAUCUCCUUUUCUGCUUCCAUAUAUACAAAAAGUGUCCAUAUGUUUCUACUUGCUGUUCAGAAAAGGAGGCUAAUGAAAUAAGGAUAAAGUUUUUAGAUCUCUAUAAUCAGAUAUAUCUUUCAGAUAAUUUAUAUGUAGUCAUUUUCAAAUUUCUAAAAGUUCUCUGAAAAAGAGAUGGAAUUUUUAAGAUUUCUAAGAAAGUAAAAUUGGAGAAGAUUCAUUUUAAUUUUUUUUUUAAACACAGUUUUGUGGAAAAUAAAUAUUUGUUUCAAGCUUUUAAAAACUUUAAUCUUCUAAGAAACUAAAGAGAAAUUCUUAGUUAAAAAGAUAUUUCAAAGAGAUCCUUAAAAAUAUUUAAACAUCUAUUAUUUUCUUAAUAAGUUAAAUGUGCACUUGGAAAGCAAUUCCAUAAUGCAAAGCAAUUCCAUAAUGCUAAGCAUGCUUUUUUUUUUUUUUUUCUCUCCUAUGGAACAUCUAUUUAUUCUACUCUAAUCAGUUCACACCUGUGCAAAAUGAGUGUACGCAGAUGUAUAAAGCUUCUGUUAUAAUGUGGUUUGGCUUCCACUCACAGGGGAGAUCUCAGCUCCAAGAAUGUCAGAGAUUUUCUCAGACUCAUUUCUUCACACCUAAUUCAUGCUUCAUCUUUAAGAAUCGGUGAUUUCACACUGCUCUAAAUGUUGCUACUCCUACUGGUACAACUGCCAGAUCAUUCACAUUAAACAUUCUUACUAUCACAACAAUUCAGAAUUUUUUACUUUAUCAAGGGCCAAAAUAAUGGUUCAUGCCCUUGGUAUUUCCUGUCUAGACUACUAUAUUGGUCUUUUGGACACAUUUCCUGCUUUUUCCAUAGUUGUUUUAAAACCAAAAUGUACAAAACUCUGUAGAUUGUUUCUUACUUUUUUAAGGUCUUGAGAAGAUGAUAGAUUUUUUUCUUGGCUCGAAGUACUGGAAGACUGUAUCCCCAGUCAGAAAUCUAUCCUUUAUUUAUUCUUGAGUUAUGAUUACAUGAGAAAGCAGGAACUUGUUCUGGAAGUUAAUGUACAAUAGAAUCUCCUUUAGAUAAUGACGAGCUUGCAGCAACAGCCUCUGCAGAAUUCUAAUCAUGUUGUAGAGAUGAAAGAUGACAACUCCCUGCAUUCAACCAGUCAGUAGAGACACUGAGAGGUCAAAUAUUCAGGUGAGUUUCAUUCGCUAUUUUAUUCUGACUGUACUAGAGUUAGCUGCCCCAUCUAAAUUAACCACAUCAUCUCUGUUCUGGUCAUGAGAAGAUCAGAGGAUGUGUUUGCAUCUCCAGGUAGUUAUCCAUCUGAAUUGUUGUAGAUGUUUUUUGAAAUGCAUCAUAAAGAGCUUCUACAUGAUGACUGUUUCAGAGGGUCUCUAAGCUUAGACUGAAUGAUGAGUUAGAAUCCAUGGAAUAGAUAGAUGUUAUUAACUGAUUUUCUUGUUUCAGUUUUUUUUUUUGUUUUUUUUUGUUUUUUUUUUUAGUGGACAGUGAUUUAUUUCCCAUACUUCUUCCCCUGAUAUUUUGCUGUUGGACUACUCAGAAAACUGUGACCCCGCUGUUACUCAUGGACACCACACUGCAUUCUCAUUUGCGCUGGGAACAUAUUCUGCUUCAUGGCCCGUGUGAUUUUCUUACAUCUGGGAUUUCAACUAAGUACCUUUGUUCUUCUAUAAUCACGAAUUUUAUUUUAUUCAGUUUCAUAUUUGACAUGUUUUUAUACAGACAGUGUUAUUCAUGCAUGUUUCCUAACCAGUACUCCAACAAAGCUCAAGUGUUCUGUUGAUACUAUUGUGAACAGUUUUUAACAAAGAUUUUUGGAAACUUUCCAAUAAAAAUGCAACAGAAGCAGACAAGGAGAGGUUAGGCAAACAGUGCUGCAUUAUACAUGACCACAUAUAAUACUGUACUCAAGAAAGGCUAAAGAAAUAUAUUUGCUCAAAGGGACCAUUUAUGGGAAGUAAUGGUAAUAAACACAAGUAAAUAUUUGAGAAUCAUCUUUAGUUUAAAGAAACAGCAAAGACCAAUGCCACCCCUACUACAGAUGAUCUUGUCUCAUUACAAUACUUUCUAUUUUUCAAACGUGUGUGAAACAAAUGUUGCUUCAAAAAUAAUACUUUAAAAUGCUUUCACAAAUAAAGAAUUUAUUCUAAAUCUCUGUCAGUAUUGGUAAAUACAAAAUAAGGUUGAUAACUGAUUAAGGCUCUGCAUGUUUUAUUGUUUGAGAUUGCUAUAAGUAAAGAAUUGUGGCUGUCUUAUGCUAUUCUAGAAAACAUUCAGCAGUCUUGUCUAAACUGCAGUGACAUACACUAUUUUUAUCUACUCCCUUCUUCUUUCAGAGAUUUUUUAUUUACCUUGUCAGAUCGGCAAGCAAGAAUUCUCCAUGUUCCUUUCUCUGUGAAGAUAUCUGCCAAGUCCUCACUCCCUGUAUUGGGAUAGGUGAGAAUGUACAUGGGCCUCUUUGUCAUCUCAAAACUGAUGCAUCCUUCCUUAGAGAACAGGACUGAGUAGGGCUACAGCAGUCCCUGGGUCAUGCUAACAGAGAAGUAGAGGGCCUUAAGAAGCUCAUGACUGAUCCAGAUUCUUUUCAAAAUCCUGAUUAUCAGGGAAAUGAAAUAACAAAUUUGGCAUGAAUUAAUUUAAUAUGAAAGGUUUGUUCCUUCUCUGUAGUACCAUUCACUCACGUACUAUCAUAACAGAUUCUGAGUUUUGUAGAAGGAAACCCCUCAAAAGCAGUUUCAUUACUUUAGGCUUUAAUGUGAAUCCAUGACAAUAUUGAAUCCUUAUAGCAUUGAUACAAGUGUCAGUGCUGCAGAUGGAAACGCUCUUCUAAUAAAACAAACCUGACUAAUUCUACUAAUGCUCUUGUUCUGUUCCUUUUUCUCAGAGAUGCAUCAAAAGUUGAAACCUGGGCUUCCAGGAAAUGGAGAUUUUCUCCAGCAAGCUCAUCACUAUUUAUAUAUUAAUAACAUCUGAGCAACAUGCUCUGGAUAUAUACCAGAUUUACCUCUUUACUUCACAUCUUCUUUGAAUCCUGAAUUUCCCAUGAUUAUAACAUCAAUAGAGAAUUUGUCAGAGCUUGCUUUGCAGUUCUAUUUCUCCAGUACCGAUUUCCAUGCAUUAGUAAUAUGUGAUAUACAUGUAUUUCAACUCUAAUAAUAAAUUUCAAAUGCAUUUUCAUCAUCACAUCUCUUCACCCCCUCUCAGUAUAGAAUAUAAUAUUUCGCCCCUCAGCUGCUCUGCUUUUUUAACUCUCUUCUAGAUGUUGCACAACAAUUAUAAGAAGUAUAUUUGUGUUUAAUUUUAAAAUUCUGAAUGAAAACCAGUAACAUUAAUACAGAAAUUAAUACUUUUAGAAGUUACAAUAACACAUCUUUAUUUGAAAUAAGUUAGUAGAAUCUUAGUAGUGUUACCCUCAAAAAAGCUAUGAGAUCCUAUAGUUUGGUAAAACAAUUACUGAACUUUUGUAACUUCCAACAAGCCACUGUAAAAGUAGGGUUUUUUUUUUUUUUUUUUUUUUUUUGGUCUAGACAUUGCCUAAUACAAUCAAGUGAGCUAAAAAUUACAAACAUAUUGGCAUCUCAUUUUAAUGCUUAUAAAGUUAUGAAGUGAGAUGAUUUCAUAAAAGAAUGAAACAAAUAGUUUGCUCUCAGCAAACACAUGGAAAUAUAAUGUAUGUCUAUACCUCACACUUAUUCCCAGGCUAGUAUCAGUCUGCAUUGUCAAGAGGUUACUCAGUAUAAAUGUGCUGCUGCCAGAUCUGAAUUGCCUUACUGGCUUCAAGGUUGAAGCACACAUCUUUCUAGUGCUGAGAGCAGAGAGGGACGGUUGGAAACCUCCAGCAAAGGAGGCAAACCUAUUGGAUGGGAAAGGGACAGGAGGCAGAGGAUGUCAGGAGUGGGACUGUGGUUGUUUGUUUCUUUUCCCCUUCUCUUCAUUGUUUGUCAGCUAUCUCAUUUACCCAAAGGUGACCCUUAGAUGAUGCCAUUAGUGAGAAAUUUCUCCACUGAGAAUAUGCUUCUGUUAUCAAAGAGCUGGUAAAGGAAUUUUGUUGUUGUUUUUUAAGCUAAUGUAAUCAUUAUCAGGAUUAGAUCUUGAUAAAUAAACUGUAUUCUUAAAAUCCAUUUUCCAAGCUAAAAGUCAGAAAUUAGAGGAUUGUCUGAUUACUUUAUCCUUGUCUUGUCUCUCAAGGCCUAACAAGACCCCCAGACUUAAUACACAGACCAGGAUCUCUCUGAGGUCCCCUAAUUUAAUGUGAUGUCAUAACAGACUCAUAAAGUCUCUUGACUGGAUUUGAUCAUCUAUUCUUUCAAAGUACUUCCGUAGGCAAAGCUGAAUGUUCUCUGGUGAAUAUCUGAAGGGAAACCUCAUAAGUACGUGUGAUUCAUAUGUUUUAGCUAACCAGCCCCCAGAGCCACUCUAUUGAAAGCCUGUGCAAAACAAAGCUGAGAUUUACAGUCAUCAGAGGAGACAAAGUGAAGCUCUCUGAGAUUGUAAAGAUAAUGUAGUGUAUAUAAAAUGUAUGCAGUUCAUACAUUCUGGAUUUCUUUUUUUCAUAUUUUACAUUGAUCACAAAUACAAAUUAAAAAGUUACUAUGCUCAUUCUACACAAAACUCAUUCACAUGAUACACAGAUAAAUGCUACAAAAAGAAGAAAAUCUGUACUUUAUAGAGGUGUAAUUCUGUAUGUGUCUGUCCAAUAUAUAUUCAUUUUCUGUUUAGUUCUUAUUUUGUAGAAUGAAUUCACAUGGGUUGCCCAGGGAUAAGAGCCACUGUUGAAAUGAUAAAUGGGAAUGGGUAGCAUUGGGAUUGGGGGCACAUCUUCCAAGUUUAAAAAGCUGCAAGGCAUCAUCAGUAGCUUAAUUUAGAAACAGGCAGUGCUAUAGACUCACACUGCUCUGUUAGCUAAAUUAGACUAAUCUGUUUAACUUUGAAUGCAAUUCCAAAGAAAUUACUGGUGUGUGAGCUUCACAUAGCUGCAGAGAAGCUGGCAAAUUGACCAUGCACUGUGCACUUAGCAAAAGGAUUCAAAAUCAGAAAAGGUAUCACAAACUAUGAUUUCAGUUUGUGAAGUCUUUGAGAGAAAGCAUGCCAAUCAAUAAUUAGAGUAACUGACAAAAGCGAUGCACAAUGAAUGCAGCAGAGGCAGAUUUUAAUAUACUGCCUGCAAUUUGUGUGCAGGACAGUAAUCAAAAUACGGAUAAUGUAGCAGUGAGGCAAUUAAAAAGAAAAAAGAAAGAAAAAGACAAAGUAUUUUAACAUUUUUCAUGUACACUCUGUUUAGUCAAUGGAAAGAGACAACUCUGUCCAGAAAGCAAUUUACCUUAUUUUCAAAAGAAAAUGAAUUGCUUUCUGGAGUGCAUCACUAUCUACUCAUUUGUUAUGGAAAAUGCCCAGCUAAGUGGCAGAGAAUAUACCCUAUAUUUUGUAGGAAUCUAUAAUAGUUUAAAAACUUUUAUUGAAAAAGUUUUUCAAACCUGUUACAUUCAGAUAAAUCUGAAAAUAAUAGUAAUAACAAUAACAGUAUAUUGAAAAAGUAAUUGCGUGUUUAACAUAUGCCUAUAUUCUACACCUUUAUGAAUGCCUAUGCACACUUUUUCUGGAAUAAUAGAAUCAUAGAACAGCUUGGGUUAGAAAGGACCUUAAAAAUGAUCUAGUUCCAAAAUGUCAGCUGUGGAAAGGGUUGCCACCCAGCAGAUCAGGCUGCCGUGGGCCCCAUCCAACCUGUCUUUGAGCACCUCUAGAGAUGGGGCAUCCACAGCUUCUCUGGGCAGCUGUGCCAGUGCCUCAGCACCCACUGACUUUUUCUCUAUGUAUCCCCUCUCUUAGUUUAGAAUAAUUCUCUCUUGUCCUGUCACUAUCAGGCCAGGUAAAAAGUUAGUCUCUCUCCUCUUUAUAAGCUCCCCUCAAAUACUAGAAGGCUGCAAUUAGGUUUCCCCGGAGCCUUCUCUUCUCCAGGCUAAACAGACCCAACUCCCUCAGCCUGUCUUUAUUGGAGAGGUGCUCCAGCACUCUGAUCAUCUUCAUAUUCUCCUUUGGACCCACAUCAACUGCUCCAGGUAGACAAGC
RNAcentral lists this long non-coding RNA (9430 nucleotides) under Gallus gallus (chicken). The record is from RNAcentral. Lineage: Eukaryota; Metazoa; Chordata; Aves; Galliformes; Phasianidae.